RNAcentral lists this ribosomal RNA (746 nucleotides) under uncultured Actinomycetales bacterium. Its description in RNAcentral is "bacterial SSU rRNA". It matches the Rfam family "Bacterial small subunit ribosomal RNA", at positions 1 to 762 of the family's 1533-position model. The record is from RNAcentral. Lineage: Bacteria; Bacillati; Actinomycetota; Actinomycetes; Actinomycetales.
CCCUUAGAGUUUGAUCCUGGCUCAGGACGAACGCUGGCGGCGUGCUUAACACAUGCAAGUCGAACGGAAAGGCCCUGCUUGCAGGGUACUCGAGUGGCGAACGGGUGAGUAACACGUGGGUGAUCUGCCCUGCACUUCGGGAUAAGCUUGGGAAACUGGGUCUAAUACCGGAUAGGAACCAUCUUUAGUGUGGUGGUUGGAAAGUUUUUUCGGUGUAGGAUGAGCUCGCGGCCUAUCAGCUUGUUGGUGGGGUAAUGGCCUACCAAGGCGGCGACGGGUAGCCGGCCUGAGAGGGUGUACGGCCACAUUGGGACUGAGAUACGGCCCAGACUCCUACGGGAGGCAGCAGUGGGGAAUAUUGCACAAUGGGCGCAAGCCUGAUGCAGCGACGCCGCGUGGGGGAUGAAGGCCUUCGGGUUGUAAACUCCUUUCGCUAGGGACGAAGCUUUUUGUGACGGUACCUAGAUAAGAAGCACCGGCUAACUACGUGCCAGCAGCCGCGGUAAUACGUAGGGUGCGAGCGUUGUCCGGAAUUACUGGGCGUAAAGGGCUCGUAGGUGGUUUGUCGCGUCGUCUGUGAAAUUCUGGGGCUUAACUCCGGGCGUGCAGGCGAUACGGGCAUAACUUGAGUGCUGUAGGGGUAACUGGAAUUCCUGGUGUAGCGGUGAAAUGCGCAGAUAUCAGGAGGAACACCGAUGGCGAAGGCAGGUUACUGGGCAGUUACUGACGCUGAGGAGCGAAAGCAU